AUAAGAUAGUAUAUGGAGUACAUAGAAUUUUGAUUUCUGGGGUGAAAGUUCAAGUCUUUUUCUUGU
This 66-nucleotide transfer RNA is filed under the name Calliotropis micraulax. RNAcentral describes it as "tRNA-Gln". It matches the Rfam family "tRNA". From Rfam's summary of the family: Transfer RNA (tRNA) molecules are approximately 80 nucleotides in length. Their secondary structure includes four short double-helical elements and three loops (D, anti-codon, and T loops). Lineage: Eukaryota; Metazoa; Mollusca; Gastropoda; Seguenziida; Calliotropidae. The record is from RNAcentral.